This is a long non-coding RNA of Apis dorsata (giant honeybee), 362 nucleotides long. RefSeq lists it as uncharacterized. The record is from RefSeq and is a predicted model, not a curated record. Lineage: Eukaryota; Metazoa; Arthropoda; Insecta; Hymenoptera; Apidae. The transcript is spliced from 2 exons.
GUAUAUUCCAUUAUGAUAUUUAAGAGUAUAAUUAUAAAUGAAUUUACAGAUUCAUCCACAAGAUGAUUAUGCGAAUAAUGCAAGCAUAGAUGGCAGCACAUUGAUGUGAAAACGUAGAAAAUGUGACGUGUAAACAUUGACUAAGAUAAGCAGUAAAGAAACGGAUCUUGUUUCAAAGAUCGACAAUAAAUCGCAGACAUGCUCCAAAUUUUCGUGCAAUAUGUUAUGAAUAUUUUGCAACUUUCUGUUUUGUCACCGGUUUAUAAAUGCUCAUAACGAAACAGAUUUGUAAGAAUUCUGGGAGCAAUGCUUACGCAAUACUCUUUCGAAGUGUCGAAUAAAAAAGUUACUGGAUCUGUAUA